CGGGGCGUAGCGCAGCCUGGUAGCGCACCUGAAUGGGGUUCAGGUGGUCGUCGGUUCAAAUCCGACCGCCCCGACCA
This 77-nucleotide transfer RNA is filed under the name Dehalococcoidales bacterium. RNAcentral describes it as "tRNA-Pro". It matches the Rfam family "tRNA". Rfam says of the family: Transfer RNA (tRNA) molecules are approximately 80 nucleotides in length. The record is from RNAcentral. RNAcentral also lists the same sequence under 1 other name. Lineage: Bacteria; Bacillati; Chloroflexota; Dehalococcoidia; Dehalococcoidales.